GGUUAAGUUAGAAAGGGCGCACGGUGGAUGCCUUGGCACUAGGAGCCGAAGAAGGACGGGACUAACACCGAUAUGCUUUGGGGAGCUGUACGUAAGCGUUGAUCCAGAGAUUUCCGAAUGGGGGAACCCACUAUCUUUAGUCGGAUAGUAUCCUUACGUGAAUACAUAGCGUGAGGAAGGCAGACCCAGGGAACUGAAACAUCUAAGUACCUGGAGGAAGAGAAAGAAAAAUCGAUUUCCUGAGUAGCGGCGAGCGAAACGGAAAGAGCCCAAACCAAGAAGCUUGCUUCUUGGGGUUGUAGGACACUCUAUACGGAGUUACAAAAGAAAGUUAUAAAUGAAGCGGUCUGGAAAGGCCCGCCAAAGACGGUAACAGCCCGGUAGUUGAAAUGGCUUUCCCUCCAGAGUGGAUCCUGAGUACGGCGGAACACGUGAAAUUCCGUCGGAAUCCGGGAGGACCAUCUCCCAAGGCUAAAUACUCCCUAGUGACCGAUAGUGAACCAGUACCGUGAGGGAAAGGUGAAAAGCACCCCGGAAGGGGAGUGAAACAGUUCCUGAAACCGUGUGCCUACAAGUAGUUAGAGCCCGUUAAUGGGUGAUAGCGUGCCUUUUGUAGAAUGAACCGGCGAGUUACGAUUUGUUGCAAGGUUAAGCGGAAAAAGCGGAGCCGUAGCGAAAGCGAGUCUGAAUAGGGCGCAUAAGUAACAGGUCGUAGACCCGAAACCAGGUGAUCUACCCAUGUCCAGGAUGAAGGUAAGGUAAUACUUACUGGAGGUCCGAACCCACGCACGUUGAAAAGUGCGGGGAUGAGGUGUGGGUAGCGGAGAAAUUCCAAUCGAACUUGGAGAUAGCUGGUUCUCUCCGAAAUAGCUUUAGGGCUAGCCUCGAGGUAAAGAGUCAUGGAGGUAGAGCACUGUUUGGACUAGGGGCCCUUCUCGGGUUACCGAAUUCAGAUAAACUCCGAAUGCCAUGUACUUAUACUCGGGAGUCAGACUGCGAGUGAUAAGAUCCGUAGUCGAAAGGGAAACAGCCCAGACCACCAGUUAAGGUCCCCAAAUAUAUGUUAAGUGGAAAAGGAUGUGGGGUUGCUUAGACAACCAGGAUGUUGGCUUAGAAGCAGCCACCAUUGAAAGAGUGCGUAAUAGCUCACUGGUCGAGUGACCCCGCGCCGAAAAUGUACCGGGGCUAAACAUAUUACCGAAACUGUGGAUGAACCUCUUUAGAGGUUCGUGGUAGGAGAGCGUUCUAAGGGCGGUGAAGUCAGACCGGAAGGACUGGUGGAGCGCUUAGAAGUGAGAAUGCCGGUAUGAGUAGCGAAAGAAGGGUGAGAAUCCCUUCCACCGAAUAUCUAAGGUUUCCUGAGGAAGGCUCGUCCGCUCAGGGUUAGUCGGGACCUAAGCCGAGGCCGAUAGGCGUAGGCGAUGGACAACAGGUAGAGAUUCCUGUACCAGUGCUAAUUGUUUAACCGAUGGGGUGACACAGAAGGAUAGGGAAUCGCACGAAUGGAAAUGUGCGUCCAAGCAGUGAGUGUGAGAAGUAGGCAAAUCCGCUUCUC
Molecule: ribosomal RNA, 1555 nt
Filed under: Listeria monocytogenes
Lineage: Bacteria; Bacillati; Bacillota; Bacilli; Caryophanales; Listeriaceae
Description: partial 23S ribosomal RNA
Rfam family: Bacterial large subunit ribosomal RNA
Source: RNAcentral